GGGAUACUGCUUCGGUAAGUCCC
This 23-nucleotide unclassified non-coding RNA is filed under the name synthetic construct. The record is from RNAcentral.